AUUGAACGCUGGCGGCAGGCCUAACACAUGCAAGUCGAACGAGUGGCGGAAGGGUGAGUAAUGUCUGGGAAACUGCCUGAUGGAGGGGGAUAACUACUGGAAACGGUAGCUAAUACCGCAUACCAUCGGAUGUGCCCAGAUGGGAUUAGCUAGUUGGGGGGGUCACGGCUCACCAAGGCGACGAUGCCGAGCUGGUCUGAGAGGAUGACCAGCCACACUGUAACUGAGACACGGUCCAGACUCCUACGGGAGGCAGCAGUGGGGAAUAUUGGACAAUGGGCGAAAGCCUGAGCCAGCCAUUCCGCGUGUGUGAAGAAGGUCUUCGGAUUGUAAAGCACUUUAAGUUGGGAGGCGUUACCAACAGAAUAAGCACCGGCUAACUUCGUGCCAGCAGCCGCGGUAAUAC
RNAcentral lists this ribosomal RNA (406 nucleotides) under uncultured bacterium. Its description in RNAcentral is "partial 16S ribosomal RNA". It matches the Rfam family "Bacterial small subunit ribosomal RNA", at positions 30 to 526 of the family's 1533-position model. The record is from RNAcentral.